GCUAACUGGCAGAAUAGUGCAAUGGACUUAAGCCCCAUAUAUAAAGUUUUCUUUCUUUAGAA
RNAcentral lists this transfer RNA (62 nucleotides) under Byrrhinus sp. BYR01. RNAcentral's name for it is "tRNA-Leu". The record is from RNAcentral. Lineage: Eukaryota; Metazoa; Arthropoda; Insecta; Coleoptera; Limnichidae.